UACAGAGGGGGCGAGCGUUGUUCGGAAUUACUGGGCGUAAAGGGCUCGUAGGCGGCCAACUAAGUCGGACGUGAAAUCCCGGGGCUCAACCUCGGAACUGCCUUUGAUACAGCAAGUCUUGAGUUCGAGAGAGGUGGGUGGAAUUCCUAGUGUAGAGGUGAAAUUCGUAGAUAUUAGGAAGAACACCAGUGGCGAAAGGCGGCUCACUGGCCCGGUACUGACG
Molecule: ribosomal RNA, 223 nt
Filed under: uncultured bacterium
Lineage: Bacteria
Description: partial 16S ribosomal RNA
Rfam family: Bacterial small subunit ribosomal RNA
Source: RNAcentral